CAAAGUAUUGGCAAAUCGAGCCCCACGUUUUUUUUUUAUAAUUAAAUAUUUUAUGUGGAGUGCAUACUUUUGUAAUUUUCUACUUUAACCAUUGUAGUACAGUUUUGCAUAUUUUGUUUACUACAUUAUUGAAGAUGCUCUAGUCUAAAACAUCUCCAAUGGUGUGGGCAAACAAAGUAUUAAAAAUUAAAAUAUAUUGGCUUAUAAGGCAUGUUGUCUAUUGUGGUAGCAUAAAUUCGUCGUCUUCAGUAUAGAUGAAAUUGUUCCUACAAAAGAAUUAUGCACCUCUGUUCAAAGACCAAAGUCACAUGCACAUGGAGUGGGCAGAAAGAUUUGACCAAUGGAUAUCCAAUACCUAAGUCAGUUUUAAAAAAAAGAUAGAGUUAAAUGCUUAAUUGCGUAACAAAAGUUUACAAUUAUUUGGUGUACAAUGAAGUAUUUAUAGAGUAUAGGGUCAGCCACAUGUGUAAAAUUUCCCAAGUCAUGUGUGGUCAUCUAGUUGGCCAAGGUGUGUCAUUUGUUGAAUGGAGAAAAGUAUUAUCCCGAAGAUAUUAUUUAUGAAAUAAUAUUUAGGGAAUAUCUCGUGAUAUCCUUCAUUGGAUUUGAUUGUAAUUCAUUUCUUGAUUUGAUUUUGUCUUCAAUAAGGAAAGCUUUAAAGAUAGAGUUUGGUUAUUAAUUCUAUCUUUAAUAUCUUUGACUUUUCUUCUUGCCAUGAUCAACAGAGUUUAGAGCAAUAAUAGUCAUUAGAUUAUGUCUUCAAGAGGUUGAACUGCGCGUGGGAUAAAUGUAGGCCUUGCUAAUCUAGUAAGGGCAUUUUUGUCUCUUGCGGGUAAAAGCCUACAUAGCAGCUCAAGGAAUUUCAAGAUUAUUUUUAGCUCCACACUACUCAUUUCCCUAUGAAUUAGGCAAUCCAAGUAGGUAAAACCGUAUUAUAUUAAAAAAAAGUUCACCUUUUUGUUUGUUGUUCACCAAAAAAACUAAAUGAUACAACCUAAUUGAAGGACCACAUAUAAUUAUAAUAAAAUGGAAUGCGGGGCCCAAUCUGCCUACUCAUGUUGCAGCAGGCGUGCAAUAUUGCUUACUUUGGAAGAGUGUAGGCAAAUUUUGCCUACAUUAUUGGAGCAACAUUUUGCUUCCGAGGCGCAUCAAA
This 1150-nucleotide long non-coding RNA is filed under the name Malus domestica (apple). RNAcentral's name for it is "long non-coding RNA (MDOM_LNC000892)". Lineage: Eukaryota; Viridiplantae; Streptophyta; Magnoliopsida; Rosales; Rosaceae. The record is from RNAcentral.